RNAcentral lists this ribosomal RNA (450 nucleotides) under uncultured bacterium. RNAcentral describes it as "bacterial SSU rRNA". It matches the Rfam family "Bacterial small subunit ribosomal RNA", at positions 21 to 518 of the family's 1533-position model. The record is from RNAcentral.
GGCUCAGAACGAACGCUGGCGGCAGGCUUAACACAUGCAAGUCGAACGCACCGCAAGGUGAGUGGCAGACGGGUGAGUAACGCGUGGGAACCUUCCCUUUGGUACGGAAUAACUUCGGGAAACCGAAGCUAAUACCGUAUAUCUCCUGUGGGAGAAAGAUUUAUCGCCAAAGGAUGGGCCCGCGUUGGAUUAGCUAGUUGGUAGGGUAAAAGCCUACCAAGGCGACGAUCCAUAGCUGGUCUGAGAGGAUGAUCAGCCACACUGGGACUGAGACACGGCCCAGACUCCUACGGGAGGCAGCAGUGGGGAAUAUUGGACAAUGGGCGCAAGCCUGAAUCCAGCCAUGCCGCGUGAGUGAAGAAGGCCUUAGGGUUGUAAAGCUCUUUUGGCGGGGACGAUAAUGACGGUACCCGCAGAAUAAGCCCCGGCUAACUUCGUGCCAGCCGCUGC